RNAcentral lists this ribosomal RNA (496 nucleotides) under uncultured bacterium. RNAcentral describes it as "partial 16S ribosomal RNA". It matches the Rfam family "Bacterial small subunit ribosomal RNA", at positions 28 to 506 of the family's 1533-position model. The record is from RNAcentral.
GAUGAACGCUGGCGGCGUGCCUAAUACAUGCAAGUCGAGCGAACAGACGAGGAGCUUGCUCCUCUGAUGUUAGCGGCGGACGGGUGGGUAACACGUGGAUAACCUACCUAUAAGACUGGGAUAACUUCGGGAAACCGGAGCUAAUACCGGAUAACAUGUUGAACCGCAUGGUUCAACAGUGAAAGACGGUCUUGCUGUCACUUAUAGAUGGAUCAGCGCCGCAUUAGCUAGUUGGUAAGGUAACGGCUUACCAAGGCAACGAUGCGUAGCCGACCUGAGAGGGUGAUCGGCCACACUGGAACUGAGACACGGUCCAGACUCCUACGGGAGGAAGCAGUAGGGAAUCUUCCGCAAUGGGCGAAAGCCUGACGGAGCAACGCCGCGUGAGUGAAGAAGGUCUUCGGAUCGUAAAACUCUGUUAUUAGGGAAGAACAAAUGUGUAAGUAACUAUGCACGUCUUGACGGUACCUAAUCAGAAAGCCACGGCUAACUACGG